CACGUAAAAAAGACAACUUUCCUGCACCAGACUUGACUUGUUAAAAAUAGAAAAGAAUGAAGAUAGAAGGAAAAGGACCAGAACAAUGAAUCCGGAAAUGAUCAUUGCCCCCAACCUCACAUCCUCAAAUUCACAUAGGCAAAUACACCAGUAUUCUGUUGUGCCCCUCCUGGGCCUCCCUCAAUAUCCCAAUGGAAACACACACAUAAAUGGCAAUUAUCAACAAAUUAAAAUUACCAUAGGUCUCAGCAUGAACUACACCAAAAUUAAUUCAGGAACCAAAUAAAAAGAGAUUCACAUGAGAAGUUUAAGAAGAAUAAAGAAAACUAUAAUUCACUAAAAAUAGGAAAGGUGCCUCCUUUUGGAGUAAGACAGGUUAAUCUAAUUGGAAUCUUUCCAAAAUAGCAAUUCAUUUAGCAUAAAGGAGCAUUGAAGACAGGUAGAAAUGCCAACCUUUGAUCUAAUAGCAAUGAAUUCUAUCGAUCAUGGUAGCCUCCACAGCCUAAUACUACUGUCCUAAGAAGCCAUGGCAACAAUUUUUUUAACAUUGCCACCUGAACAAAUGUACUUCUAUUUACACAUUUCAAUAAAACAAGUAAACGCCUUUAACAGGUCUCAACCAAAUUCACAAUAAAUGGUGAUGGAUUCAACCCUACUAAACACAAUUAAUGUUCAAUUCAAAACCUUCACUCUGAAAAAUACAUUAACAAUCCAAAAAAUUCACAACAUCAAAAGAAAAUAGAAAGAGACAUUACAUUUUCUUAUACAAGCUUCAUUGAGUCAAACAAAUAUCACAAAAGCAAAAAUGCAAAAGAAAUAAAAAAUAAAAAAUAAAAAGAAUGCAAUCAUGUUCAAUGCUUAGCAAUGUCCACAAAAUCUAAGUUGCAGACAAAGCAUUUUAGAGCAAUCACAGAACCCAUCCGUCCUCAACGCAAUUCUUAAGUAAAGUCAGUUGCUCUCAAUUGCAUCCUCACAUUCUAGAACCUUUAACCCCUCGUAAAAAGCUCACAUGACAAGAAACUGGAAAUGCCCAACAUUGUCGUCGAGUUAUACGACAAGACUAGGCACAGU
This 1071-nucleotide unclassified non-coding RNA is filed under the name Hevea brasiliensis (rubber tree). The record is from RNAcentral. Lineage: Eukaryota; Viridiplantae; Streptophyta; Magnoliopsida; Malpighiales; Euphorbiaceae.